AGCUAGAAGAUGAAGAGAUACAUUUGGCAGUAAGAGAUAUUUUGCAAAGGAAUUCUGGGGAUUUUUGUUUUGGGGUUUUCUUUUCCUUUUUUAGAAGAACAGGUUUAAUAAAGAUGAUUUAAGUGUAGGGAAAUAUAUUAUUCAGACCCACACUCCAUUUCAGAAGAUGGCGGUAAUGCAACCAGACGCUGUUUGCCAACCGCCAUAAAAACAAGAAGAAGAAGACGAUGGCAAGCCAACUGAAAAAAACGUUCAAUUUGCAUCAGUGCCCUCCCAUUGAAAACGACGGAGUCUGUUCGUCCUUUUCUUUCACUGUCUAUGAUUUUACCCCGAACGCUUACCAUGGAAACGAGCCUUGUGGAUACUAGCUGGCACUCUAUCGGUAGCCUGAAAGUUGCCCAACACUCACAUUAACGACGGGACAUCCCUACAGCUUUUAAAACGUUUGAGCUCUGGGUAGGACACAAGAGUACCCCCUGCUUGUUUAUUAACGAGGAUGGGAUCUGUCAGGACCUCAUUGAGCUGAAACACUUGAGCUCACAACCCCCUUCUACCCUCCUUUGUGAAGGUCCUGCAGGCUGAGCUCUGCUCAUGACCACCUGAGGACCAUCAGAUGUGGAGUUCCUGCCCAUAAUCCUUUGUCAUGCGAUUUCGCAUUCCCUGCAGCUGGUUGGCUACGUUGAAAGCCCAAUGGGCCAACUAGAAGAGUCCUUGUAUCAGCGCCUGUGAUAAAAAAGAAAACCCUGGACUGGAUCAUGACUCUAAGACUGAAGCACACGCAUCAACUUUCAGGGAAGAAACUAAUCUACAA
Long non-coding RNA from Alosa sapidissima (American shad), 811 nucleotides. RefSeq lists it as uncharacterized. The transcript is spliced from 3 exons. Lineage: Eukaryota; Metazoa; Chordata; Actinopteri; Clupeiformes; Clupeidae. The record is from RefSeq and is a predicted model, not a curated record.